GACGAACGCUGGCGGCGUGCUUAACACAUGCAAGUCGAACGGUGAAGCGAGUGCUUGCACUCGUGGAUCAGUGGCGAACGGGUGAGUAACAUGUGAGUAACCUGCCCAUCACUCUGGGAUAAGCACUGGAAACGGUGUCUAAUACUGGAUACGACCAACCCUUGCAUGGGGUGUUGGUGGAAAGAUUUAUCGGUGAUGGAUGGACUCGCGGCCUAUCAGCUUGUUGGCGGGGUAAUGGCCCACCAAGGCGACGACGGGUAGCCGGCCUGAGAGGGUGACCGGCCACACUGGGACUGAGACACGGCCCAGACUCCUACGGGAGGCAGCAGUGGGGAAUAUUGCACAAUGGGCGAAAGCCUGAUGCAGCGACGCCGCGUGAGGGAUGACGGCCUUCGGGUUGUAAACCUCUUUCAGCAGGGAAGAAGCGAAAGUGACGGUACCUGCAGAAGAAGCACCGGCUAACUACGUG
This 469-nucleotide ribosomal RNA is filed under the name uncultured bacterium. RNAcentral describes it as "partial 16S ribosomal RNA". It matches the Rfam family "Bacterial small subunit ribosomal RNA", at positions 28 to 507 of the family's 1533-position model. The record is from RNAcentral.